Molecule: ribosomal RNA, 254 nt
Filed under: uncultured bacterium
Lineage: Bacteria
Description: partial 16S ribosomal RNA
Rfam family: Bacterial small subunit ribosomal RNA
Source: RNAcentral
UACGUAGGUGGCAAGCGUUAUCCGGAAUUAUUGGGCGUAAAGCGCGCGCAGGCGGUUUCUUAAGUCUGAUGUGAAAGCCCACGGCUCAACCGUGGAGGGUCAUUGGAAACUGGGAAACUUGAGUGCAGAAGAGAAAAGCGGAAUUCCACGUGUAGCGGUGAAAUGCCGUAGAGAUGUGGAGGAACACCAGUGGCGAAGGCGGCUUUUUGGUCUGUAACUGACGCUGAGGCGCGAAAGCGUGGGGAGCAAACAGG